RNAcentral lists this long non-coding RNA (6298 nucleotides) under Vitis vinifera (wine grape). Its description in RNAcentral is "long non-coding RNA (VVIN_LNC004037)". Lineage: Eukaryota; Viridiplantae; Streptophyta; Magnoliopsida; Vitales; Vitaceae. The record is from RNAcentral.
GUUGGUUUGAAGAGUGGAAGGUUUUUAAAUGAGGAGGCAGAGGGAGAGGAUUUGGGUGGUGGUUCAUAGUGGAGGAUUCCGGCGACAGUGGAAUUGUCAAAGGUUCCACGGCCUGUGGCAUAAGGGCGAGCAGCCAUGAGGAAGGUGGCAUUAGGGAAGUGGGGUUUGGCCUUGAGGAGGAGGUUGGUGGUUUGGCCAGGAGUGAUCAAAAUUGUAUCGGUUUUAAAGGGUUUAACGUAAAUGGCAUCCACAUCAACCACUGUAAGGGUGUGGUUGGCAAUGCUGAAGAAGAGCUCAUCAUUGAGUGCAGCAUUGAUCAAUCUCAGGAGGUAUGUCUUUCCGGGCUUCACCUUUAGCUUGAAAGUAUCUGGGCAAUGUGCAAUACAAAAUCAAUGUUAAAUACUUGCGUAUGCAUAGAAUGCUGCUUAGUAAAGAUAUAUACAUGGAUGAUGGUGGUUAAGAGCGAAGUACCUUGAGCUGAGCAGUUGUACAAGGGGCCAGGGAGGCCGUUGAUGGUAUAGGCAUCAGAGACAUUUGGGCCACCUCCAUUCUGCAGGGCCUGGGUAAUGACUGCUUCCGGAUCCGCAUUCCACCAUUCUCCUAUAAAAUAUCAUACAAUGGAUAAUGAAUUUCCUUAGAUCAUAAAAUGAAAACGAUUGGAAGUCUUGCUAGUAGACAGUGAUAAAUGGAUGAGUACCAAAUAUAAUGGGAACUUCCUUGUAGGGUUUGACAAACGGGUAAGGGACAUUUUUCUUUGGAAGGAUGAUGAUGGGUCCAUAGAGAGUGGAUCUUAGCCAUGAAAUGUGAGCAUGCCAAAACAGGGUUCCUCUUUGGCCAGUGAUGGUGAAAUUGUAUACAUAGGUCUGGCCUGUUUGAAUUGGGCAUUGAGUCACAUACGCAGGCCCGUCUGCCCACCCACUCCUAAGCUGCCGAACUCCAUGCCUGCAGCUUGCACAAUUAGUAAGGGCAGAGAAGAUGACAAUGACGAGAAAACUAAUAGGCCUUCUUACCAAUGGAUGGUGACAUUGUUCUGGACAUGGUUAACCACCUUAACCACCACUCGAUCUCCUUCCCUAGCAAUGAUGUGAGGUCCUGGAAACUGCCCAUUCACACUCACAAUGCUCUUCGUGUGGCACAAUCUUGUCACAUUCUGCAGCUUGAUCUAGAAAGAUUCCAACAGAAAGUUAAACAAAACUUUAAGCAAUAUGAAUCCAUCUACUCAAUUAUAUACAGAUAGCCAUAUGAAAAAAAACAUACAUUGAACUUGUAAUGCCUAGUGAUGCCAGCACUACUGGCAAGCUCGGGAAAGAGCCACAGAGUGUUCAAAACUACGAACAGGACUCUGAAAAUUGCUGUUGAUGAAAGAAGAGAAGCACCCAUUUCUCCUGAAAAUCUUCUCUAUUUGAUUGAGUUGAGCAACAAUGUACCAGACAACCCUCAAGCGCUCCUUGAUGAGACUCAUGGAAGGUUGUGGCAUGGUUUAUAUAGAGGCAGUAGGACCUGUUUGGUUGAUUAGGUGAUGAAAUUAUGUAGGGGAAACAACAAAUUGAAAGGAAAACAGAGAGAACCAAACACCUACAACGACAAUCUUGAUCCGACCAGACGUUGGUCAAGUUUUGUUUUAGAGUGUUUUCAAAGACAACAUAUUUCUGAAUUUUAUUUGACCUGCUUCCUAUUCCCGUUUACCCUUUCUCAUAUGGUAUACACCAUAUGUUUCUGAAUUUCAACUGCCUUCUAUUGAUAAGUAGUGGCAAUGCAUAGAAGUGGUUGGCUCACCAACAAUAGUUUACUGCAUAAAGACUUCUAGCCUUGUGCGGGGCUGAUGAAGCCAUUCUUUCAUGUCAUGGUAUAAAAUGCUGAAAUUAUGGUGAAAGAAUUUCAUUCCACUGGACCUGCAAUUGUUUUCACCAUAAGAUUUCCGUAUCACCACCUUAGCUUAUCAGGACGCAAUAUUGAUGUGACGAUCUUGUGGACAUUCUCAAUCCCUUGGUCUUGAGUGUAACGCAUCCGAUAGGAACCUACCCUUUGUUGCUGUCUUGGGGUUGAUCACUCUCAUUGAAUUACUAAAACAAAAUUUGUAUCAAAGAAUAUUAGAAAAGUGGAUUGAAAGAUUAGGUAUAUGAAUUGACAGGGAUGCUGUAUUCCAGUUUUAGGGGUCUGAUCCCAAGUAGUGAAGUGACUGAUUCACACCUCUAACAUAAUAAUGUCCCAUUAAAUUUGCAAGAAAAAGAAUAAAAUAUUUAUUAAAAAUAUUUGAAUUCUCAAAGACUUUAAUAUUAUAAAAAGGACGUUAAUAUAAAACAAAAAGGUAUUGAAGAUAUUGAUUAUCAUCUUAAAGUAUGCUGAUUUUCACCUUAAAAAUUAAGUUUCAAUAUUUCUCAUAUUAAUUCUCAUAGAUAUUAGUAAAACAUUUAUUAUGUUUAGUUCUAAGAAAUUAUUUAAAAAAAAGGUAAAAUUUUAAGAAUUUUUUUUAUUAUGUUUUGUUUACUAUAGAAAAUAUGAAAAAUAUAAUUAAAUGUAAUUAAAAAGUAUAUAUAUUAAAUUUAAUGUUUAAUGUUUUUAUAGAGAAAAAAAAUUAAAUGAACAAGAAAAAACAUGUCAAAAUAAUUUAUAAACUUUAAAUUGAUUUUUAUUUUUCUCUUCUAUAUUUUUUCCUUCUUAUUUUCCUUUAUUUUUUGGGAAUCAAAAUAGAAUAAAGAACUUGGCUUAUAUCAAAAUGCCAAUUUAUGUUUCAAAAAUUAUGAAUUAUUGUCAAUGACUAGUUUAAAGAGUAUCAAAUUCACCAUCUUAAAUGCAUUAGUUAUCAUUCUAAAAAAUAUUAAUAAUUACAUUUAUUGUGGGAAUUUUUGACAAGGUCGCACAACAAACCUGAGUAUAAAAGAGGUGGGUUCGAAGCAUUCAACCCUUCACGUCUAAAUUUUAGGUGGUAUUUGGUUUUUUGGUUUUUUGCUGAAAGCAAUUUGUUUUUAGAAAUUAAGUUGUUUAUUUUUAUUUUUUUUUAUGACUUAUUAUAAACUUAGGUUGUUUAUUUUUUUACUUUUUCAUAACUUAUUAUAGACUUUUUGCUGAAUAGAAAAAACCAAAAUAUAUAGUUUUUUCUAAAUAGAAAAAAUAACAUAUUAGGUUUUCUUAACUUUUUAAUACUUAAUAGAAAUAAAAUACUACAAAAACAAACAACUUAAUAUUUAACACUAUUAAGUAUUAAGAUUCUAUUUAGAAUUAAGUAGAAAAACUCUUAUUGUUAGAUAAAGUUCCUCCUUUUAUGGAAAAGGGGGUUUUAUAUUGCUUUGCGGUAGCCAUGCAUAGGUUUGGUAGCUUCAAAUGUCGUAUGGUUGUACAGAUAAGAUGUUGCUUUUAUAGGGCCAGCAUAGAUGUUGGUGUCGUUCCCAACGUGGAGGGAAGCCCCCAAUAGAGGUAUGGUGUUGUAGGUGAUUUGAUAAUUUUUUCACUAAAUAUCCUUAAUUAUAAGAGUCAUCCCCAAUGUUCCUAUGUAUAUAUGGGUAGGAAAGCUUAUGCUUUGGGAACACUAUUGUAUCGUGCAUCUUCAUCUAAUUAACGCCUUCCUAGUUGCAAUGUCGUAACACCCGUAGGCAUUGAUUUCCCAUGAGACAUAUAAGAGGCAUGAAUGAUUGGAUUAAGAAAUUCUUAACUUGAGCCCAUUUGAACCUUUAGUCAAUGACUGCCCUUGAGGGUCCUCUGCUUUAAGAGGCAAACAAGAUGAGAAGGAUGGGGGAUAGGGUUAGGGAAUUUUAAACUUGAGCCUACAUGAACCCUUAUAGGAUGAUUGUCUUUGAGGAUUCGUUGUCUUAGAAUGUGAAUGAAGUGAGAAUGGUAAGGUUAGAGAUUUCUCAACUUGAACCUACAUGGACCCUUAGGCAAUGAUAACACUUGAGAAUCCCUUCCUUAAAAGGCAAAGGAAGUAAGAAGGGUGAGGUUCGAGAUUUCUUGACUUGAACUAACCCAAACCUUUAAUAGUGUCCAAGAUUUCUUGUCUUUUUAUUAAUGCUAAAAAUAAUUUUUUGAAAUAAUCAUAAUACAAAUAUCAAUAUGACCUUUAUUCUAUUAAUACUUAAUAUUUAACAAAAAUAAAAUAAUAAAAACAAAAAUUUAAUACUAUUAAAUUAUAUUUAGAAUAAAGUUAAAUUAAGUUUAAAAAAAAAAAAACACCACCUAAAUCAUAGAAAACCAUAAGAAUAAUGACACUAGCAAAUAGUUGGGUUGAGAAUGCCCUUUCUAGCAUGAUGUUGCAUCGAUAAUCUCAUCAAGAUAUGUUCUUAAAUAAUUAUAGACUCUAUUAUUGUAAUAUUUCUUACCAAUGAGAGGAUGUAAAUAAAUAUCUUUUCAUAAAAUUUGGGAAAAAUAGUUUAACUAAGAUAGUGUUAGUUUUUUUUACUUAAUUUUAAAUAAAAUUUUAAUGUUUAAUAGUGUUAAAUAUUAAUAGGUUAUUUGGUUUUUCUUAUUUUAUUUCUAUUAAAUAUUAAAAACUAAAAUAAAACCAACAUAUUACUUUUUUUAUUUAAAAAAAAUCAAAUAUUUUGGUUUUUUUUUAAAUAAAAAAUUUAUAAUAAAUCAUAAAAAAAUAAGAAAACAAACAAUUUAAAGUAUCAAAAUAAAUUAUUUUCAGUAAAAAGUUAAAAAAAUAAAUAACCUAUAAGCCUUCGGAGGUAUGACCCCGAAAAUAUCAGAAUUUCAUGUUACAAAUCAAAGUGUCCUACUAUUAAUCAUGCAAAGUCAUUUUCUUUUAGAGUCAAACAAAGGGCUAUGAUCCGCUUUUGAAAAUAUUUUUUUUAGCAUGGUCCGGAAAAAAACUCUCCAUUGUGUCCACUAUCAAUUGAAUUUGACGAAAUACAUGUCAAGUUUUGCUUCCAAAUGGAAGUAGAAAAACGUAUAUAUUAUACUAAUUCUGGUAUGGGUUUUGACUAAAUCAGCGGAAGCAUCUUAUGAAAUUUUUGUGGGCUAGUUUGCUGUACAUUAUAUGUAAGUGGCAGAUUUGGGAAGGAAGGCGAUGAGUGAUCGAUCUCCUUGGUCAUCUGAAGUAUUAACAGUAGCCAACAUUUUAUUUCCAAAAACUUCUCCAUUUCAUAAGUUGGGAGAAAAGAACAGUCGGGGGAAAAAACAAUAAAAACAGAAUAAAUAAAUUACAAGAGGGAAAAAUGGAGGCAUCAUUUGAGGCCAGGUUGGGAACAAAAGAAUUUUGGAAGACGAGGUCAACACUUGGGAAGGUCAGAGGGUGGAGGAGGCAGCUUCUGAUUAGGCAUUUUGCCAUCCUUUACUAUCCAACCCAUCUUCAAACCCCAGCUUGUGUGGACUUCCAGAUGGCAAUGCAUGAGCCAUACACCUGGAUUGUCAGCGAGGAAGCGAAUAGCUACCCAACCGCCGGACGGCACACCUACUGUGUUUCUUUCAACAGGAUCUACGAGAUUGAAUUUGGAAGGGUCCUUCUUAGCAUCAAAGUUCCCAAAACCUUGACCAACCACAAAGAAAUUGAAGCCAUGAAGGUGCAAAGGGUGGCUUUCAAUUCCCAGAAUACUUGUAUCCUGUAGCACCAACUCCACACUCGUGUUAAAUGGAAGCACUACCACCUUAGUUCCGUUGCUCACCAUGGUGUUGUUGGGUGGUGUCCCUGUAUAAUUGAAAGGAAAGAUUGGAGUGGCUGGAAAAUCUGUGGUGUAGACGCCAUUGGAUUGCUGAAAAAAGUGUGCUUGAAGGAUGGCCGUGGUGGGUAGAACAAAAGAGACAUUGUUAACCGAAGCUGAAAACAUGGUGCUAUUAUUGGGUCCUUGACAAGUCUGGUUCUGCGGGCAAGGGUUUGUCCCCAGCCCAACCGUGAAGAAAAAUCGCUUAUCAACCUUUUGAGGUACAUUAGCAGGGAACUGAGUGUUUGCUAAACUGCGGAGUUUGCGGGUGAAGUUGGCUGCAAAGGAAGUGUCAUUUAGAGGAGGGAGUGUUGGUUUGAAGAGUGGAAGAUUUUCAAAUGAGGGGGCAGAGGGAGAGGAUUUGGGUGGUGGUUCAUAGUGGAGGAUUCCGGCGACAGUGGAAUUGUCAAAGGUUCCACUGCCGGUGGCAUAAGGGCGAGCAGCCAUGAGGAAGGUGGCAUUAGGGAAGUGGGGUUUGGCCUUGAGGAGUAGGUUGGUGGUUUGGCCAGGAGUGAUCAAAAUUGUAUCGGUUUUAAAGGGUUUAACGUAAAUGGCAUCCACAUCAACCACUGUAAGGGUGUGGUUGGCAAUGCUGAAGAAGAGCUCAUCAUUGAGUGCAGCAUUGAUCAAUCUCAGGAGGUAUGUCUUUCCGGGCUUCACCU